Molecule: long non-coding RNA, 236 nt
Filed under: Capsicum annuum
Lineage: Eukaryota; Viridiplantae; Streptophyta; Magnoliopsida; Solanales; Solanaceae
Description: long non-coding RNA (CANN_LNC017653)
Source: RNAcentral
CGUGCUCAGGUGACUCAGUAGGAGCAGAGAAUUAUGCUUGAUAGAGCGGUGGGCAGUUAGAGAUAUUCCCAAGACCUUCAGAAAGCGGAGGAGGAGGCAUUCCGCUGGCCCAUGCCCGGUGUAAAUCUAUCAAUUGUUGCCUGAGCCUUACUACCUCAUCAUUGUGUUCAGAACUUUCUUCCCUGUGAUCCUGAUUCGGGUCAAUGAGCGAAUUUUCAAUCUCCCUGCUAGCCAUG